UACAGAGGUCCCAAGCGUUGUUCGGAUUUACUGGGCGUAAAGGGUGCGUAGGUGGCGAGGUAAGUUCGAUGUGAAAUCUCCGAGCUCAACUCGGAAAUGGCAUUGAAUACUAUCCCGCUUGAGGGUCGGAGGGGAGACUGGAAUUCUCGGUGUAGCAGUGAAAUGCGUAGAUAUCGAGAGGAACACCGGUGGCGAAGGCGGCCUUCUGGACAGUGACUGACGCUGAGGCAUGAAAGCGUGGGGAGCAAACAGG
Molecule: ribosomal RNA, 253 nt
Filed under: uncultured bacterium
Lineage: Bacteria
Description: partial 16S ribosomal RNA
Rfam family: Bacterial small subunit ribosomal RNA
Source: RNAcentral